RNAcentral lists this ribosomal RNA (497 nucleotides) under uncultured bacterium. RNAcentral describes it as "partial 16S ribosomal RNA". It matches the Rfam family "Bacterial small subunit ribosomal RNA", at positions 28 to 507 of the family's 1533-position model. The record is from RNAcentral.
GAUGAACGCUGGCGGCGUGCCUAAUACAUGCAAGUCGAGCGAACAGAUGAGGAGCUUGCUCCUCUGACGUUAGCGGCGGACGGGUGAGUAACACGUGGAUAACCUACCUAUAAGACUGGGAUAACUUCGGGAAACCGGAGCUAAUACCGGAUAAUAUAUUGAACCGCAUGGUUCAAUAGUGAAAGACGGUUUUGCUGUCACUUAUAGAUGGAUCCGCGCCGCAUUAGCUAGUUGGUAAGGUAACGGCUUACCAAGGCAACGAUGCGUAGCCGACCUGAGAGGGUGAUCGGCCACACUGGAACUGAGACACGGUCCAGACUCCUACGGGAGGCAGCAGUAGGGAAUCUUGCGCAAAGGGCGAAAGCCUGACGGAGCAACGCCGCGUGAGUGAUGAAGGUCUUCGGAUCGUAAAACUCUGUUAUUAGGGAAGAACAAAUGUGUAAUUAACUAUGCACGUCUUGACGGUACCUAAAGAGUAAGCCACGGCUAACUACGUG